GAAGAAAGAGGGCGGCGUGCUUAACACAUGCAAGUCGAACGGAAAGGCCCUGCUUUUGUGGGGUGCUCGAGUGGCGAACGGGUGAGUAACACGUGAGUAACCUGCCCUUGACUUUGGGAUAACUUCAGGAAACUGGGGCUAAUACCGGAUAGGAGCUCCUGCUGCAUGGUGGGGGUUGGAAAGUUUCGGCGGUUGGGGAUGGACUCGCGGCUUAUCAGCUUGUUGGUGGGGUAGUGGCUUACCAAGGCUUUGACGGGUAGCCGGCCUGAGAGGGUGACCGGCCACAUUGGGACUGAGAUACGGCCCAGACUCCUACGGGAGGCAGCAGUGGGGAAUAUUGCACAAUGGGCGGAAGCCUGAUGCAGCAACGCCGCGUGCGGGAUGACGGCCUUCGGGUUGUAAACCGCUUUCGCCUGUGACGAAGCGUGAGUGACGGUAAUGGGUAAAGAAGCACCGGCUAACUACGUG
Molecule: ribosomal RNA, 468 nt
Filed under: uncultured bacterium
Lineage: Bacteria
Description: partial 16S ribosomal RNA
Rfam family: Bacterial small subunit ribosomal RNA
Source: RNAcentral